AACGAACGCUGGCGGCAUGCCUAACACAUGCAAGUCGAACGAGACCUUCGGGUCUAGUGGCGCACGGGUGCGUAACGCGUGGGAACCUGCCCUUAGGUUCGGAAUAACUCCCCGAAAGGGGUGCUAAUACCGGAUAAUGUCUUCGGACCAAAGAUUUAUCGCCUUUGGAUGGGCCCGCGUUGGAUUAGCUAGUUGGUAGGGUAAAAGCCUACCAAGGCGACGAUCCAUAGCUGGUCUGAGAGGGUGAUCAGCCACACUGGGACUGAGACACGGCCCAGACUCCUACGGGAGCCAGCAGUGGGGAAUAUUGGACAAUGGGCGAAAGCCUGAUCCAGCAAUGCCGCGUGAGUGAUGAAGGCCUUAGGGUUGUAAAGCUCUUUUACCCGGGAUGAUAAUGACAGUACCGGGAGAAUAAGCUCCGGCUAACUCCGUG
This 433-nucleotide ribosomal RNA is filed under the name uncultured bacterium. RNAcentral's name for it is "partial 16S ribosomal RNA". It matches the Rfam family "Bacterial small subunit ribosomal RNA", at positions 29 to 507 of the family's 1533-position model. The record is from RNAcentral.